UCCACUUGGCGUUCACUUCAACCAAAUCCAGACUGAGGUUUGGAGGACCAGAGGUCAGAGGUCAGUUAGUGUUCACACCUCAGCAACCGGACUGGACUUUGACUAGGCAGAUGGACUGGAGUUGGGAUAAGGUGGACUGGAUGUUCUGGUUAAGGUGGACUGGAUGUUCUGGUUAAGGUGGACUGGAUGUCUUAGUUAAGGUGGACUGUCGGGUUAAGGCGGACUGGAUGUUCGGGUUAAGGUAGACUGGAUGUCCUGGAUAAGGUGGACUGGAUGUUGUGGUUAAGGUGGACUGUCGGGUUAAGGUGGACCGGAUGUCGUGGUUAAGGUGGACUGUCGGGUUAAGGUGGACCCGAUGUCCUGGUUAAGGUGGACUGGAUGUUCUGGUUCUGGUCGGGUUCUGCAGAUGGAUUCCUGGAGGUGAGUGAGAGCUGAGCGGUUCUGUUGGGAUGAGAAUCCCAUCAGAGCAAUCCGGACCGGGUCUCCGCCUGCUCCGGCCGCCCGGCGGUUCCGAUGUGUUUCCCAGACCCGGAGCGCUGAGCGGCGGGUCAGCCAGGGAAACUGGUGACUCAGCGCUCCCAGUGGACCCAUUGAUGGCUUUACUGGGAUUGGUGGUCCGUCCAGUCCAGACCUUCAGGCCGUUAAAGGGACAUUCUGUGAUUUCUGCUCUUCCUGCUGCUGACGGCCUCGGCCACGCUGACGGAUUAAAGCAAAGCUCUGUUUGUCCUCUCUGGGCUCCCGUCCCAUAAAUACAAGCGGGUUCGUUUACAUAUCUGCAGGUUUCACUGCCGCUCUUCAUCACUCUUUCUCUUCCUCAGCUCUAUUUAUGUUCUCGUCCUCAGCAGUAACUUUCCUUCUCCUCAUUCUCCUGAUUUACGACCAAAACACAUUUUUACUGCCAAAGUUUCACAACCAGAAAAAAACUCACUCUGUUUUCUCUUGUCUUUCUUUCUUUGAUUCUUCUGUUUCUCUCCUUCUGUGUUUGUAACGCCCCGCUCCCGUCACAAUUUACUGUUGCAGAGGUCAGAGGUCAUGGCUGCCGCUCCGCCUGCCGUUGUUUUCCUGUUUUGUUUCCUGUCUGGUCCAGACGGGCCGCGGGUUUCUCAGAACCGGUCCGACCCGCUGGGACCAGAACGUCUCCGGGUUCCGGGUCAGAACCAGAACCAGAAUCUGUUCUAGAUGCUCUGAACUAAUCUAUGAAUUAUUCUAUAAAUGUAUCUUAAUCUGUUUAGACUCUUAUUUUGAAAGGCAGUUGCAUUACAUGAUUCUAGUUUAGUUUAUAUAUUAGUAAUAAAAUAUUAAAUCUGUUAAGGGUUUGCCGUACAGACUGAAGCUAAUUAAAGGUCUAUAAUAUUCAAAUUUAUGAAUCUGCAGUUUUGCUGCUGAUUCGGCUUUAAUGAAACGUUUUAUUGUGAAAUCGAUGAUUUGCUGCGUUUAUUUGCUUUCAACAUGUUUAUUAAAACAUGUUGAAAUAUUUAUGAAAACCAGGUUUGUAGUUUUUCCUGCGUAUUUCUGAACUCUUCUUGUCUGAAGCUGAAGCUUUGUUCAUUCGUCUGCUGGAGAUUAUCUGCAGAUUAUUAAUCCAGGAGCUGAAACGUUAAGAUUAAUAUUCUCUGCAUUAAUCAGUGAAUUAAAAAGCUGAGGAAUCGUUCACUGAACUGUUCAGACUCACUGAACUGUUCAGACUCAUUUCCCUUAAAGCUCCGCCUACUUCCUGCCUUCUGAUUGGACGGCGUCAGGAAGCGGUGAUUCUGGGCGUCACUGUUAGGUGGCGCUGUGGUUCUGCUCAGUGAAACGAUUCAUUUCCUCCCAGCUGAAGCUUCGUCCAGAUAAAUGAUGAAUCCUCAGACCAACGGGUCGUUUUCUCCGGAUUCAGGUUUAUGUAAUAAAUGUGACGCUGCUCCUUUAAGACGGAUGUUGUGAUUGGCUGCAGCCGUUUCUCCUUCAAACCGCAGGAAUCCCCUCAAACAACAGAGCUGGAAACUUUGUGCCGCUGGACGCCGUCCCAUCAGGAAGCAACAAACUGAGGCUCUGCAGAGAUCAUCACUGCGUGUGUGUGUGUGUGUGUGUGUGUGUGUGUGUGUGUGCGUGUGUGUGUGUGGGUGUGUGUGGGUGUGUGUGUGUGUGUGUGUGUGUGUGUGGGUGUGUGUGUGUGUGUGUGUGUGUGUGUGUGUGUGUGUGCUGUAGUUACAUAUUUACUGCAGAUUCGGUGCAGCUGAAGGGCCAGUUGGGACGUUUCACCUCGCUUCACCCUGGAAGCAGCGUUUUGAUUUUAUUUAGUUUUUUAUGAAAGGAAGCUGAAAGUGAGGCGGUCAUGUGAUGAGGCAGCAGCCGAGGUCACAUGACCCCCUGGGGGUCAUCGGGAGGAUUUUCAACACCAUUUGUCCAGGCUGAUUUAUGCCGAUGGCUGUUUGGGCCUUAAAGGGGAAGUUUUUAUUCAAAACGGCAGAUCAGGAGGAUUCAGACUUUAACGGCACAGAAAGGGAAACAAGUUUUCCAGAAAAACAAGAAUUGAUCCAUAAAAACAAGAAAUGAUCCAGAAAAACAAGAAUUGAUCCAGAAAAACAAGAAUUGAUCCA
Molecule: long non-coding RNA, 2579 nt
Organism: Xiphophorus hellerii (green swordtail)
Lineage: Eukaryota; Metazoa; Chordata; Actinopteri; Cyprinodontiformes; Poeciliidae
Exons: 2
Source: RefSeq, a predicted model, not a curated record